GCGCAGGGUCGACGACAUUUUCUGGUGCGCAUUAUCAUUUACCCGUAGUGCACGCGCGAAAUGCGUCGGCGUCUGGGCCUCUCUGUUCUCGCCGAGCACCAUCCAGAGAGAACAGCUGGACCUCGUGCCCAUAUCGCCGCUUUCUUUGUUUCACUUCGGUGGCAGUCGAACUGCGGAAGUGGUGCAUGCAGCACCAGUCAUGGCACUGCUCGUCAGUCGGCGAAUGCUUCACCGCGGGAGCCGACAGAGACGGCAGCGAGUGCGGAGAGCGUGGCCACGAAGACUGUCAUUCCCGAUCACAUGGCUGUGGACUGGAGCGGCGGCUCUUCUUACUACUUCUCCGAGGAAGAAAAUGCGCGUCUUUCUCGGCUGCACACGCCGCUAGCUUCGGAUCGAGAGUCUGGUGGCGCUCAUGGCGCAGUUUCCAUCACAUGCCCGAAUUCCACCAGCAUGGACGGGAAGCGAAAGGACGGCGCAGCGGCGCCGGCGUCGCGGGCAGUGAUUCACGGCGUCGCGCGCAGCUUCUCCAUCGAUCUCACCAUCCCCCCUCUACGCCGCGAAGAGGUGGAGCGGUGGAAGCUCGACGGGCACAUGUUUCGCAAGUGCAUCAACGCGAGAAAGCCGUUCGCACAUGGGUCACAAAGGAUUCAUCAGUUGCUUCCCUCAACAGCCAUGGUGACGUACCUCGGACCCGAUAUGCGCAAGAUUGAUCAGGUGCAUCGCCAGAAAGGCUACUUUACCCCCUCUGAGGUGGCUGAGGUGUUCAUUCCCCUGGUCCCGACUUUUCCGGUGGAGAGUCGACAUGUCAUGGCGACGGUGCCACCGGAGAUCUUGAGGCAGAUUGAAAAGGUGGCAGGCUCGACCUCCACACUGGCGCAGGUGGUGUUUGAGCACUACCCGAUGCUCUUUCACUAUACGCCAAAUCGCUACCGACCGGCGGUCGUGCAGCUGAACUCGGAGUUCUGGUUUGUGCGCCAGCAUCCAGGGUAUGGAAAGGCAGAUCGCGCCUUGUCGCAGUUCAGGUCCCACGCAUUGAUGGACUUUGAUGCGCCCGACACUGCCGAUGACGCGUCCGGCGUGGAGCCGCUGUAUGCGGCCUCGGAAAAGGCUGCCGCCGAGGUGGUUCCCUCACUGCGUCGGCGAGCGAAUAGUACUUCGCAGCGGAAGCCGUGGAGUGUCGAAAUGCUUGCCGUUCUUGUCCGCAACCUUCCGCGUGUGCCUACGCCAGAGUGCUCGUCACAAGAUAUGACGAGCAGAAAAGUGCUUUCACCGAGCGACGGCAAACCGCUCGUGAGGGAGCGCUACCGACCGCUGAACCUCGUCCAAUGGAUCAACGGCUUUCCUCCUGACGACCUCGCGUUUGUGAAGAAAAAACGCGAAGCUUCUGUGGUGCAGCUCAUUACGCAGUACGUACACGUUUUUCAGCUGAUGAGUCUGAAGAAGGGCGACCACAACCUCUUUGUUGAAGGGCACGUGCUUCUUUCAGGGGGAGCCGGCAGCAAAUGGAAAGCGGAUGUGGUAGACCCUCCGGCCUCCGCUGCAUCCGCCAUGGCAGAUAUCAAUAACGGUGACGAGGCUUCUCUGGCGCGUGAAGCGGGCCAGGAGGAGGCUGCGAUGGCCAGUUGGUGGUCUGUCGACAGUGCUGACGCUCCCAAGGACUCUGGCAACGCUGCGCAUGCUACCAAGGCGACUGCGUUGGGCAACGCCAAGUCCACCCUCGACGACCGAGAAAGGGUGUUCAAGCAAGCGGUGACGGAGGAGCUGAUUGGAUUGGAUAGCCUUGUUGAGGAUCGUAGAAGCGUUGGCACCGAGCUGGACUCCGAGCGCGAUGCCAUGGUCUUUGGUGAAGACGCUGAUGAGGCGGGGCCCAUCGAGCAAGGUGAGGACGACGACGGGGAGGUGGAUCAGCACAGAGGCAACUCGGAUGAUAUCUACCGGGGUGGCAGGGGGAACCACGACCCGGACUCACCGUCUUUGCCGCACGAGAGGUACUCGCAAUCACAGCGAGCACCUGCGAGAGGUGCAUCCAUGGAUGCUGUAACCGCAUUUGGAUUGCCCCUGGAAGAAAUCUACAUUCGGCGCCUUCCACCAGAUGUGGCGCCUCGCAGUCUCAGUGACUUGGACGAAACCACGUCGCCCGAUCCAGAUCUGCUCUCGAUCGCUGCAAGCUUCCUCGCCUCGCCGCCUUCGCUGCAGUCGCCCACUGCUGACUGCUUUUUCCGUCGUUGCCGGCGGAAACGAUGGCGGGUGGUGAACGCGGUAGAUGAGGUAUGGCGUUGGGUUGCAGUGGAGCGUUUGUAUGCGGGCUUCACAGUGGAGCAGCGAAGCCACCUCCGUGAGCGUUACCGAGGACUGGUUGGUUUCCUGCGCUACCACGGCAAAGUGUUUGAGCUUAGCGGGGAUCUUAUGUACGUCAUCGCACAUGACCCGAGGGGCACCGUGGCACCUAUUCCACCCAUGGAACGCGCGUUCCGCUAUGCUCAUCGUGUGGUUCUGCCAGAGGACUUCGAUGACAAUCCAGACCGAUCGGCCUCCCUCCUCGGCGAGGCCGAGCGCAAGAAGUUCGUGCGCGUCCUCGGGGAAGGUGCGAUCCCGAGUUUCCGGCGUCACCUGCUGCUUCUGGACCCUGAUAAUCCGCUCAUGCAGCACGAGGUACUCUAUGACGAGAUUGCCAACCUGCUGCCGGACCAUCCUGUGCCCUAUAUAGAGAUGAUGGCGAAGCUACCGCCGGUGAUGCGUGCAGCCCUUCCGCAGGUACUCAACUUGGCUGCCAGCAAGCGCAUCGAUGUGUACGUUGAGAAGGGCAGAACAAUGAUUCGCAAAAAGACGGCGGCCCAGCCAGGCGCAGCACCGGCGGCGUCGCGGCCACAGACGAGUGUGGAGGAGGCCAUUGCUGAACUACUUCAACUGCCCAUUGGCGAAGACGGCAUUUCGAUCAAGGCGCUUGUCGGGAUGCACUUAUCCGUGCCUGCAGCCAAUACCUUGUCGGACCACUUCGGCUCCGUCGGACGCGCAGUGCGCAUGCUGCCGCAGUAUUUCGAAGUCUGGGAAGAUGACAGCGUUGCGCGCAAGAGGAUAGUGAUGGUGCGCCUGCGCCAUUGAUCUCUGCUCCACCCGCGCCUUUCUCCUCUUUCCCUUUUCGCACGCGUUAUGCAAGGAAGAGCUCGAGCACAUGUGCGCCUUUCUUCACAGCACCGCCUGUCUGCGUCUGUUCGCGCAUGCUUGCGCGACUCUCCGUCUCUGCCCUUCCCCCUCCCCCGCUUCUCUCUCUCUCGACGACUCAAUCUAUUUGUUGUGGUGUUGGUCGUUUCUGGCUGUCGCCGAGGUUUGUCUGCUGCGGCGGAGUGUGUGUGUGUGUGCUCUUUAUUGUUUUUUUUUGCGGGCCGUUUCGCCUCACCCAGCUUCCUCGUGCGGGUGGUCUUCACAGCGCUGGGCAGCGAGCACGCUGAAGACAGCUGAAGCAACGGAAAAAAAUAUGCGUGUUUGUGUGUGUAGAGAGAGGAUGAGCGGAGGGACGAAACGAAAGUUGGAGGUGCACGGCGCUUUCGGUUGGCUCGAUUCGGGCUCGGUUCUCCCUUGUUGAGUUCUCUGCGUGAGUUGCCCUCGUUUCUUUGUUUCUCUUCCGGAUUCCUUUCGGGUUUUCUCGCGCCGCGGUGGAUUGGGCCCCACAGAUACGGACAAAAAAAAAUAGGCGCAGGGGUAAAGGAGGAGGACAAAUAGGAUUCGCCCUAGCCCUGCUAGGCUGGACAUCCUCUCUCGGGGAGGCAGAAGAUGCAAUGGAAGGAGAGGACGGGCGCCCACAAGAUGCGCGACCUACCCGCUAUCGCCUACUUGUGCGAAAGUUAGGGCGGAGGGAGAGUUGCGAGCAAAGGCAUGUCGAAACGGCGUUCGCGAAAGGCGGUGAAAGGUGAGAAGCAAGAGAUUGGUGCCAUAUCUUCUUGGUGCCUGUGCUUCUCUCAGCUGUUCCGAGCCACGUCGGACCCUCGAUGUCAUGUGGUGAUGCAGCACACACAACUCCUCCUACGCUUGCAGGUUCGAGUGUGUUGCGGUGAGGCGAGGCAGAGGAGGGACAGGAAUGUCGAGGGACUCGACAUGUUUUUGUGCGAGUUAUCGCUGCACCUGCCCAGCCGACCGCGCAUUCUUCUUUGGCUUUUCCACAAACACACUCCCUAUCUGUAUCUGUGUUUUGCACUUUGGCCUUGAUGCCGCGUAC
This 4213-nucleotide unclassified non-coding RNA is filed under the name Leishmania donovani. Its description in RNAcentral is "gene:LdHU3.34.3170(CDS-product:hypothetical_prote in_conserved)". Lineage: Eukaryota; Euglenozoa; Kinetoplastea; Trypanosomatida; Trypanosomatidae. The record is from RNAcentral.